Molecule: ribosomal RNA, 606 nt
Filed under: Microvirga sp.
Lineage: Bacteria; Pseudomonadati; Pseudomonadota; Alphaproteobacteria; Hyphomicrobiales; Methylobacteriaceae
Description: bacterial SSU rRNA
Rfam family: Bacterial small subunit ribosomal RNA
Source: RNAcentral
CACUGGCGGCGGCUUACACAUGCAAGUCGAACGCACCGCAAGGUGAGUGGCAGACGGGUGAGUAACGCGUGGGAACGUGCCCUUCAGUUCGGAAUAACCCAGGGAAACUUGGGCUAAUACCGGAUACGUGCGAGAGCAGAAAGAUUUAUCGCUGAAGGAUCGGCCCGCGUCUGAUUAGCUGGUUGGUAGGGUAAUGGCCUACCAAGGCGACGAUCAGUAGCUGGUCUGAGAGGAUGAUCAGCCACAUUGGGACUGAGACACGGCCCAAACUCCUACGGGAGGCAGCAGUGGGGAAUAUUGGACAAUGGGCGCAAGCCUGAUCCAGCCAUGCCGCGUGAGUGAUGAAGGCCUUAGGGUUGUAAAGCUCUUUCGUCCGGGACGAUAAUGACGGUACCGGAAGAAGAAGCCCCGGCUAACUUCGUGCCAGCAGCCGCGGUAAUACGAAGGGGGCUAGCGUUGUUCGGAAUCACUGGGCGUAAAGGGCGCGUAGGCGGCUUUGUAAGUCGGGGGUGAAAGCCUGUGGCUCAACCACAGAAUUGCCUUCGAUACUGCAUGGCUUGAGACCGGAAGAGGUAAGUGGAACUGCGAGUGUAGAGGUGAAAUUCG